RNAcentral lists this ribosomal RNA (2504 nucleotides) under Shigella sonnei. Its description in RNAcentral is "bacterial LSU rRNA". It matches the Rfam family "Bacterial large subunit ribosomal RNA", at positions 453 to 2925 of the family's 2925-position model. Lineage: Bacteria; Pseudomonadati; Pseudomonadota; Gammaproteobacteria; Enterobacterales; Enterobacteriaceae. The record is from RNAcentral.
CCAUCCUCCAAGGCUAAAUACUCCUGACUGACCGAUAGUGAACCAGUACCGUGAGGGAAAGGCGAAAAGAACCCCGGCGAGGGGAGUGAAAAAGAACCUGAAACCGUGUACGUACAAGCAGUGGGAGCACGCUUAGGCGUGUGACUGCGUACCUUUUGUAUAAUGGGUCAGCGACUUAUAUUCUGUAGCAAGGUUAACCGAAUAGGGGAGCCGAAGGGAAACCGAGUCUUAACUGGGCGUUAAGUUGCAGGGUAUAGACCCGAAACCCGGUGAUCUAGCCAUGGGCAGGUUGAAGGUUGGGUAACACUAACUGGAGGACCGAACCGACUAAUGUUGAAAAAUUAGCGGAUGACUUGUGGCUGGGGGUGAAAGGCCAAUCAAACCGGGAGAUAGCUGGUUCUCCCCGAAAGCUAUUUAGGUAGCGCCUCGUGAAUUCAUCUCCGGGGGUAGAGCACUGUUUCGGCAAGGGGGUCAUCCCGACUUACCAACCCGAUGCAAACUGCGAAUACCGGAGAAUGUUAUCACGGGAGACACACGGCGGGUGCUAACGUCCGUCGUGAAGAGGGAAACAACCCAGACCGCCAGCUAAGGUCCCAAAGUCAUGGUUAAGUGGGAAACGAUGUGGGAAGGCCCAGACAGCCAGGAUGUUGGCUUAGAAGCAGCCAUCAUUUAAAGAAAGCGUAAUAGCUCACUGGUCGAGUCGGCCUGCGCGGAAGAUGUAACGGGGCUAAACCAUGCACCGAAGCUGCGGCAGCGACGCUUAUGCGUUGUUGGGUAGGGGAGCGUUCUGUAAGCCUGCGAAGGUGUGCUGUGAGGCAUGCUGGAGGUAUCAGAAGUGCGAAUGCUGACAUAAGUAACGAUAAAGCGGGUGAAAAGCCCGCUCGCCGGAAGACCAAGGGUUCCUGUCCAACGUUAAUCGGGGCAGGGUGAGUCGACCCCUAAGGCGAGGCCGAAAGGCGUAGUCGAUGGGAAACAGGUUAAUAUUCCUGUACUUGGUGUUACUGCGAAGGGGGGACGGAGAAGGCUAUGUUGGCCGGGCGACGGUUGUCCCGGUUUAAGCGUGUAGGCUGGUUUUCCAGGCAAAUCCGGAAAAUCAAGGCUGAGGCGUGAUGACGAGGCACUACGGUGCUGAAGCAACAAAUGCCCUGCUUCCAGGAAAAGCCUCUAAGCAUCAGGUAACAUCAAAUCGUACCCCAAACCGACACAGGUGGUCAGGUAGAGAAUACCAAGGCGCUUGAGAGAACUCGGGUGAAGGAACUAGGCAAAAUGGUGCCGUAACUUCGGGAGAAGGCACGCUGAUAUGUAGGUGAAGUCCCUUGCGGAUGGAGCUGAAAUCAGUCGAAGAUACCAGCUGGCUGCAACUGUUUAUUAAAAACACAGCACUGUGCAAACACGAAAGUGGACGUAUACGGUGUGACGCCUGCCCGGUGCCGGAAGGUUAAUUGAUGGGGUCAGCGCAAGCGAAGCUCUUGAUCGAAGCCCCGGUAAACGGCGGCCGUAACUAUAACGGUCCUAAGGUAGCGAAAUUCCUUGUCGGGUAAGUUCCGACCUGCACGAAUGGCGUAAUGAUGGCCAGGCUGUCUCCACCCGAGACUCAGUGAAAUUGAACUCGCUGUGAAGAUGCAGUGUACCCGCGGCAAGACGGAAAGACCCCGUGAACCUUUACUAUAGCUUGACACUGAACAUUGAGCCUUGAUGUGUAGGAUAGGUGGGAGGCUUUGAAGUGUGGACGCCAGUCUGCAUGGAGCCGGCCUUGAAAUACCACCCUUUAAUGUUUGAUGUUCUAACGUGGACCCGUGAUCCGGGUUGCGGACAGUGUCUGGUGGGUAGUUUGACUGGGGCGGUCUCCUCCUAAAGAGUAACGGAGGAGCACGAAGGUUGGCUAAUCCUGGUCGGACAUCAGGAGGUUAGUGCAAUGGCAUAAGCCAGCUUGACUGCGAGCGUGACGGCGCGAGCAGGUGCGAAAGCAGGUCAUAGUGAUCCGGUGGUUCUGAAUGGAAGGGCCAUCGCUCAACGGAUAAAAGGUACUCCGGGGAUAACAGGCUGAUACCGCCCAAGAGUUCAUAUCGACGGCGGUGUUUGGCACCUCGAUGUCGGCUCAUCACAUCCUGGGGCUGAAGUAGGUCCCAAGGGUAUGGCUGUUCGCCAUUUAAAGUGGUACGCGAGCUGGGUUUAGAACGUCGUGAGACAGUUCGGUCCCUAUCUGCCGUGGGCGCUGGAGAACUGAGGGGGGCUGCUCCUAGUACGAGAGGACCGGAGUGGACGCAUCACUGGUGUUCGGGUUGUCAUGCCAAUGGCACUGCCCGGUAGCUAAAUGCGGAAGAGAUAAGUGCUGAAAGCAUCUAAGCACGAAACUUGCCCCGAGAUGAGUUCUCCCUGACCCUUUAAGGGUCCUGAAGGAACGUUGAAGACGACGACGUUGAUAGGCCGGGUGUGUAAGCGCAGCGAUGCGUUGAGCUAACCGGUACUAAUGAACCGUGAGGCUUAACCUUACAACGCCGAAG